This 340-nucleotide ribosomal RNA is filed under the name uncultured prokaryote. Its description in RNAcentral is "partial 16S ribosomal RNA". The record is from RNAcentral.
UUUGUUUCAGGGUUAUUUGAAUAUCUAUAACAACUAUUUUAAAGCGCCGUGGAUGCCUGACCGUACCGAGGCUAACCCUAAUGAGCUUAAUCAAGAUGAUGCUCGUUAUGGUUUCCGUUGCUGCCAUCUCAAAAACAUUUGGACUGCUCCGCUUCCUCCUGAGACUGAGCUUUCUCGCCAAAUGACGACUUCUACCACAUCUAUUGACAUUAUGGGUCUGCAAGCUGCUUAUGCUAAUUUGCAUACUGACCAAGAACGUGAUUACUUCAUGCAGCGUUACCAUGAUGUUAUUUCUUCAUUUGGAGGUAAAACCUCUUAUGACGCUGACAACCGUCCUUUA